This 378-nucleotide ribosomal RNA is filed under the name uncultured eukaryote. RNAcentral's name for it is "partial 18S ribosomal RNA". It matches the Rfam family "Eukaryotic small subunit ribosomal RNA", at positions 592 to 976 of the family's 1831-position model. The record is from RNAcentral.
CAAUAGCGUAUAUUUAAGUUGUUGCAGUUAAAAAGCUCGUAGUUGGAUUUCGGGUGGGACGCAGCGGUCUCGCAUUGCGUUUGUACUGCUGCAGCCCUCCUUCUUGCCGGGGGCGGCCUCUCGGACUUCACUGUCUGGGGGUCAGAAUCGGCGAUGUUACUUUGAGUAAAUUAGAGUGUUCAAAGCAAGCUUACGCUCUGAAUAUAAUAGCAUGGGAUAACACGACAGGACUCUGGCCUAUCGUGUUGGUCUAUAGGACCAGAGUAAUGAUUAAGAGGGACAGUCGGGGGCAUUCGUAUUCCGUUGUCAGAGGUGAAAUUCUUGGAUUUACGGAAGACGAACAUCUGCGAAAGCAUUUGCCAAGGAUGUNUUCAUUGA